AUCCCAUGAUAUGGAUACUUUCUCAUUAGCUCCUUGAACCUGUUCCAUGCCUCAUGACAGCUCUCUCCAUCUUUCUGUUGAAAGGUUUGAAUUUUCAAUCUGAUUUU
RNAcentral lists this small nucleolar RNA (107 nucleotides) under Olea europaea subsp. europaea. Its description in RNAcentral is "Plant small nucleolar RNA R71". It matches the Rfam family "Plant small nucleolar RNA R71". Rfam says of the family: R71 is a member of the C/D box family of snoRNAs containing the C (UGAUGA) and D (CUGA) box motifs. Multiple nearly identical copies of this snoRNA have been identified in Arabidopsis, and it is thought to function as a 2'-O-ribose methylation guide for 18S ribosomal RNA. Lineage: Eukaryota; Viridiplantae; Streptophyta; Magnoliopsida; Lamiales; Oleaceae. The record is from Rfam by way of RNAcentral.